This 1903-nucleotide long non-coding RNA is filed under the name Carassius auratus (goldfish). RNAcentral describes it as "lncRNA (ENSCARG00000051959.1)". The record is from RNAcentral. Lineage: Eukaryota; Metazoa; Chordata; Actinopteri; Cypriniformes; Cyprinidae.
AUGUUUUUGAUUCAACAGCUUCCCCUGGAAAUCCUCAGGGAAGUUAUUUUGUCAGUGGGUGACUCUGCAUAUUUGACACUUUCUCUGGUUUGCAGAUGGUUUAGGGAUGUGCUCCGGAAAGUUUUUCGGAAUGCGGCACACUUUGCCUGGCUAGACAUUGUGGCCAACUGGAAGAAUUGUCCUCCUGUCUACCGGAGCGAGUUCAGACGGAUGUACGGCAUCAGGGAAAGCUUGCAGUGCAGAGCCCUUUUCAAGUUUAACCCACCAGGGUACAGGGAAGAGGCCGGCGUGGUGAUCUUCUGGGCUUUUUUUUACACAGGAUUUUGUUCCAAGGACUGAAACACAUUUGUGUGUUAAGUUCAUUGAAGGGAAAUAGAGAAUGAACUGAGAUCAGGUUGUUUUGUAUUAAUUGAUGUCAUUUAAAGUUAAACUUUGCAGUGUAUAAUGUUUUAAUAAAAAAUCUAUGGCAAACACGUGCAUGACAACAGGUUUCAGUCAUUUACAUCAGUCUAUCGUUCUUUAAGGUUUCUCAUAUUUGAUGGUAACAUCAUUUGCUAUGCAUUGCUCAUAAUGAAUUCUUAAAUUAGUUGUGACAGGAUUGUGAGGAUUAAUGAGGUUUCGGUAGUGCAGUUCAGAAAACAAAUAACAGAAAGUAACAAGUGUUUUUUGGGCAAGUUCUUUAGAACCUGUAUAGUUUCUUCCUUGCAAAAAGUAACCAUGGAUUUAUUGUAGUAAAAAUAUUUGUUGGCAUAUUAAUUACCAUGUGCUGCAUUUAUAAAAACACCAUAGUUUAACUAUAGUUAUUGUAGCAGAACCAUGGUAAAUUUUCGUAGGGGCUAAGGGAAUGUUCAGAAUAUUAUUGGUGACAUUCAGAGACUGGUGACAAUUUGUUACACAUAUACAUAUAUACAGUAUAUAUAUAUAUAUAUAUAUAUAUAAUGUGUGUGUGUGUGUGUAUAUAUAAUUUGAAUAUAUAAAUCAAGGUACUCCAUGACUAUCUACAUAACCAUACUUCGCAUUAUAUUGCCGUGUCAUUUUCAAACCAGCGAGUAAUGCCGAGGUAGCGUCUACAGCCACUGAGGGAGUAGACCAUUUAUUUCUAUUCUGUUAGUUGUAAUCCAAAACUCUUUGUAUUUAUAUGGGAUGUUGUGGAAAUGCAACAAUAAAUGCAAAAACACAACAUUUAUAUUCACUUUUUAAUUUAUAUUAACAGUUUAUUCAUCUGAGUGUCUACUUCCACAUUCCAAUCCUGCUAACAGCGUCAUAAUUAUCUAUACCAAUAAGCUGUAAAAUCGUCAGUCAUCUGUACACCAAUAAGCUCAUCUUAAUCAUAAACCAAUAACCGCUGAGGUGGGCGGGGCGACACGUGUCGCUCCACCCCAACGUGUCGCCCCGCCCCAUCGUCCAGACUGCACUCUGGGCUACUUGGAUGGGUUUGUCUCAUUCUUUUCAUGCAACCAUACAAACUACCACUACAUGGAGCUAUGGUUUUAAAAAAAAGAAGGAUAACUAUAAAGAUAACGAUAUCAGCGUCCACACCAGCGAACGAUAUCGUCUGUUUAUUGUAAGCGCACGUGCCUCUGCCACUUUAAAUUCUCGAGCUCGUUAUAGCACGAUGGAUUCUGAUUGGCUGUCAAUGUGCGUAUCAUUCAUCAGCUGGAAAAAAAUCGUUCUGAAAAUGAUUCCAACGAUACCGUUUCUCUAUGCCUUCGUUAUAGUUGUAGUGUGGACUCUGCUAUUCUUUAUUAUUGAGAACGAUUUUUAAAACUAUAUCUUUAUCGUUAUCUUUAUAGUUAUCGUGCUUGGUGUGAACGGGUCUUUACAGUGUGAACCAGCCACAAACAACCACCGACAUCUGAAAGAUGAAAUAGAGCAACUUAAAUACAGAGCAAAUUAAGGAACA